AAAUUGAGGGGGGCCCGCACAAGCGGCGGAGCAUGCGGAUUAAUCGAUGCAACGCGAAGAACCUUACCAAGGCUUGACAUACACCGGUAACGCCCAGAGAUGGGUGCCCCUUUGUGGUCGGUGUACAGGUGGUGCAUGGUUGUCGUCAGCUCGUGUCGUGAGAUGUUGGGUUAAGUCCCGCAACGAGCGCAACCCUCGUCCUAUGUUGCCAGCGGGUCAUGCCGGGGACUCAUGGGAGACUGCCGGGGUCAACUCGGAGGAAGGUGGGAUGACGUCAAAUCAUCAUGCCCCUUAUGUCUUGGGCUUCACGCAUGCUACAAUGGCCGGUACAAAGGGCUGCGAUACCGCGAGGUGGAGCGAAUCCCAGAAAGCCGGUCUCAGUUCGGAUUGGGGUCUGCAACUCGACCCCAUGAAGUCGGAGUCGCUAGUAAUCGCAGAUCAGCAACGCUGCGGUGAAUACGUUCCCGGGCCUU
Molecule: ribosomal RNA, 473 nt
Filed under: uncultured Cellulomonas sp.
Lineage: Bacteria; Bacillati; Actinomycetota; Actinomycetes; Micrococcales; Cellulomonadaceae
Description: bacterial SSU rRNA
Rfam family: Bacterial small subunit ribosomal RNA
Source: RNAcentral